RNAcentral lists this ribosomal RNA (727 nucleotides) under Enterobacter sp. RNAcentral describes it as "bacterial SSU rRNA". It matches the Rfam family "Bacterial small subunit ribosomal RNA", at positions 799 to 1533 of the family's 1533-position model. The record is from RNAcentral. Lineage: Bacteria; Pseudomonadati; Pseudomonadota; Gammaproteobacteria; Enterobacterales; Enterobacteriaceae.
CCCCUUAAGAAUGUCGACUUGGAGGUUGUGCCCUUGAGGCGUGUGCUGUGCCUGGAGCUAACGCGUUAAGUCGACCGCCUGGGGAGUACGGCCGCAAGGUUAAAACUCAAAUGAAUUGACGGGGGCCCGCACAAGCGGUGGAGCAUGUGGUUUAAUUCGAUGCAACGCGAAGAACCUUACCUACUCUUGACAUCCAGAGAACUUACCAGAGAUGCUUUGGUGCCUUCGGGAACUCUGAGACAGGUGCUGCAUGGCUGUCGUCAGCUCGUGUUGUGAAAUGUUGGGUUAAGUCCCGCAACGAGCGCAACCCUUAUCCUUUGUUGCCAGCGGUUAGGCCGGGAACUCAAAGGAGACUGCCAGUGAUAAACUGGAGGAAGGUGGGGAUGACGUCAAGUCAUCAUGGCCCUUACGAGUAGGGCUACACACGUGCUACAAUGGCGCAUACAAAGAGAAGCGACCUCGCGAGAGCAAGCGGACCUCAUAAAGUGUGUCGUAGUCCGGAUUGGAGUCUGCAACUCGACUCCAUGAAGUCGGAAUCGCUAGUAAUCGUGGAUCAGAAUGCCACGGUGAAUACGUUCCCGGGCCUUGUACACACCGCCCGUCACACCAUGGGAGUGGGUUGCAAAAGAAGUAGGUAGCUUAACCUUCGGGAGGGCGCUUACCACUUUGUGAUUCAUGACUGGGGUGAAGUCGUACAAGGGGUAACCGAAGAGUUUGAUCCUGGCUC